AAUACCCAACAAAUGGCCAGUUACUUAUGGGUUGAACUUCGGACUGGGCUCAAGCCGAGUCCAGGCCGAGCCAAAGAUCUAUUUAAGCCCGGCCCGAAACUGCAAAGGGCUCUAUUUUUUGAUCCAACCCCAAUCUGAAUGGUUUCAGGUUGGAUCCGAAAUCGGCCCAAUCCGAGCCCACUUUCAGUCCUAAUUAUAACUGCAA
Molecule: long non-coding RNA, 205 nt
Filed under: Elaeis guineensis (African oil palm)
Lineage: Eukaryota; Viridiplantae; Streptophyta; Magnoliopsida; Arecales; Arecaceae
Description: long non-coding RNA (EGUI_LNC022477)
Source: RNAcentral